UGUCCAGUAGCACCUUAGAGACCAACUAAGUUUGUUCUGGUAUAAGCUUUCGUGUGCAUGCACACUUCUCAGUUGGUCUCUAAGGUGCUACUGGACA
This is a non-coding RNA of Podarcis lilfordi (Lilford's wall lizard), 97 nucleotides long. Lineage: Eukaryota; Metazoa; Chordata; Lepidosauria; Squamata; Lacertidae. The record is from the annotation of a GenBank genome assembly.